RNAcentral lists this ribosomal RNA (465 nucleotides) under uncultured bacterium. Its description in RNAcentral is "partial 16S ribosomal RNA". It matches the Rfam family "Bacterial small subunit ribosomal RNA", at positions 28 to 507 of the family's 1533-position model. The record is from RNAcentral.
GAUGAACGCUGGCGGCGUGCUUAACACAUGCAAGUCGAACGGAAAGGCUCCUGCUUGCAGGGGUACUCGAUUGGCGAACGGGUGAGUAACACGUGGGUGAUCUGCCCUGCACUUCGGGAUAAGCCUGGGAAACUGGGUCUAAUACCGGAUAGGACGAUGGUUUGGAUGCCAUUGUGGAAAGUUUUUCGGUGUGGGAUGAGCUCGCGGCCUAUCAGCUUGUUGGUGGGGUAAUGGCCUACCAAGGCGUCGACGGGUAGCCGGCCUGAGAGGGUGUACGGCCACAUUGGGACUGAGAUACGGACCAGACUCCUACGGGAGGCAGCAGUGGGGAAUAUUGCAGAAUGGGCGCAAGCCUGAUGCAGCGACGCCGCGUGGGGGAUGACGGCCUUCGGGUUGUAAACUCCUUUCGCUAGGGACGAAGCGCAAGUGACGGUACCUGGAGAAGAAGCACCGGCUAACUACGUG